CAAAUUCUCAUUUACCUAGAAUCUAAACAACUGGGCAUGCCAAGUAUGAAUUUUUAUAGACUUCUCAUGGAAUUUUAUACUUUUUUAUAGAAUCUUACAGACUUUUAUACAUGUUCAUGAUACACAUGUUAACAUUAAGAUUCUAGAGUUUUAAGAUGCUCAAUGUGGUUUUCACAGUAAAUGUACUUCGUCAAUAGAAUAGUUAUUUUUUACAUGGUGGUUGGUAACUCACAGAAGGUACCAAACAAACCACUUCUAACAACCAAGAU
Molecule: long non-coding RNA, 269 nt
Filed under: Bos taurus (domestic cattle)
Lineage: Eukaryota; Metazoa; Chordata; Mammalia; Artiodactyla; Bovidae
Description: long non-coding RNA NONBTAT007331
Source: RNAcentral